This 222-nucleotide ribosomal RNA is filed under the name uncultured Glomus. Its description in RNAcentral is "partial 18S rRNA". It matches the Rfam family "Eukaryotic small subunit ribosomal RNA", at positions 665 to 864 of the family's 1831-position model. The record is from RNAcentral. Lineage: Eukaryota; Fungi; Glomeromycota; Glomeromycetes; Glomerales; Glomeraceae.
GGAUUGACACAUCGGUCGUGCCUUAAGGGGUAUGAACUGGUGUAGUCAAUUUCUCACCUUCUGGAGAACCACGAUGCCCUUAAUUGGGUGUCGCGGGGAACCAGGACCUUUACUUUGAAAAAAUUAGAAUGUUUAAAGCAGGCAUUUUGCUUGAAUACAUUAGCAUGGAAUAAUAAAAUAGGACGGCAUGAUUCUAUUUUGUUGGUUUCUAGGAUCACCGUA